CCUACGGGGGGCAGCAGUGGGGAAUAUUGCGCAAUGGGCGAAAGCCUGACGCAGCGACGCCGCGUGAGGGAUGAAGGUCUUCGGAUCGUAAACCUCUGUCAGCAGGGAAGAACGGUCACUGUGCUAAUCAGCAGUGACUUGACGGUACCUGCAAAGGAAGCACCGGCUAACUCCGUGCCAGCAGCCGCGGUAAUACGGAGGGUGCGAGCGUUAAUGGGAAUUACUGGGCGGAAAGCGCUCGUAGGCGGUAUGUUAAGUCAAGGGUGAAAUCCCCGCGCACAACGUGGGAACUGCCUUUGAAACUGGCAAACUGGAGUGUGUGAGAGGAUAGUGGAAUUCCAGGUGUAGGAGUGAAAUCCGUAGAUAUCUGGAGGAACAUCAGUGGCGAAGGCGACUAUCUGGCACAUAACUGACGCUGAGGAGCGAAAGCGUGGGUAGCAAACAGGAUUAGAUACCCUAGUAGUC
RNAcentral lists this ribosomal RNA (465 nucleotides) under uncultured bacterium. RNAcentral's name for it is "partial 16S ribosomal RNA". It matches the Rfam family "Bacterial small subunit ribosomal RNA", at positions 338 to 795 of the family's 1533-position model. The record is from RNAcentral.